This 449-nucleotide ribosomal RNA is filed under the name uncultured bacterium. Its description in RNAcentral is "bacterial SSU rRNA". It matches the Rfam family "Bacterial small subunit ribosomal RNA", at positions 355 to 796 of the family's 1533-position model. The record is from RNAcentral.
UGGGGAAUAUUGGACAAUGGGGGCAACCCUGAUCCAGCAAUGCCGCGUGUGUGAAGAAGGCCUUCGGGUUGUAAAGCACUUUUAUCUGGAGCGAAACACGCAGGGUGAAUACCCCUGCGGACUGACGGUACCAGAGGAAUAAGCACCGGCUAACUUCGUGCCAGCAGCCGCGGUAAUACGAAGGGUGCAAGCGUUACUCGGAAUUACUGGGCGUAAAGCGUGCGUAGGUGGUUUCUUAAGUCUGCUGUGAAAGCCCCGGGCUCAACCUGGGAAUUGCAGUGGAUACUGGGAAGCUAGAGUGCGGUAGAGGGUAGUGGAAUUCCCGGUGUAGCGGUGAAAUGCGUAGAGAUCGGGAGGAACACCAGUGGCGAAGGCGGCUACCUGGACCAGCACUGACACUGAGGCACGAAAGCGUGGGGAGCAAACAGGAUUAGAUACCCGCGUAGUCC